Molecule: ribosomal RNA, 429 nt
Filed under: Triticum aestivum (bread wheat)
Lineage: Eukaryota; Viridiplantae; Streptophyta; Magnoliopsida; Poales; Poaceae
Description: partial small subunit ribosomal RNA
Source: RNAcentral
AUGACGAGAUUGAAGAAUAGUUACUAUGUACUUCCAAGAGAACCUGAACCCAAGCGCACCAUGUCAAACACUAACAACAUUGGGAAGGUAAUGUUCCUAAUAGUUGUGGCCAGGCCUCGGUAUAACAAUGAGGGGGAGCUAACAUUCGAUUGGAAGAUCGGCAUUUGGGCAUUCAUUGAAGAGACUGAGGCGGUGCGGACAAGUCAGAACAGAGCAAAGGGAACAAAUGUGUUGAAAUCAGCGAAAGUAACCAGGCCUGUGUGUAGAGAUUAUCUCAUCGAUAAGGUUAUCCCAGCAAUUCAAGAUAAGUGGCCUAACGAUGAUGAGAGAGCAACAAUAUUCAUCCAACAGGAUAACGCAAAGCCUCAUGUCCUUCGUAAUGAUGUAGCUUUUCGAGAAGCUGUGGAACAAGCUGAUCUUGACAUCUGA